Molecule: unclassified non-coding RNA, 227 nt
Filed under: Hevea brasiliensis (rubber tree)
Lineage: Eukaryota; Viridiplantae; Streptophyta; Magnoliopsida; Malpighiales; Euphorbiaceae
Source: RNAcentral
GCUUGUACCCGAUUAAAACAUCCGCGAAAAAAUUCAACUCUUCUCUUUCUCUCCAACCCCUGUAGCAGUCUCUCCGAACUCACCACCCAGUCGCCCUUAUCGUCGUUCUUGAGGGGGAUUUAGGGGUUUUUUUAGGUGUUUUGUUCUAUUUGGGUGCCGAGAUGUUGAGUUCGGAGGGAUUGUGUUCUUCUCCGCCGCCGAAGCAGUAUGGCGUAACGAAACCGAUA